GUUUGAUCAUGGCUCAGAACGAACGCUGGCGGCGUGUUUAAGACAUGCAAGUCGCACGGGAUUGAUCGAGUAGCAAUACAAGAUCAGUCCAGUGGCGCACGGGUGAGUAACACGUGAAUGACAUGCCCUGCAGAGGGGGAUAGCCAGGGAAACUUGGAUUAAUACCCCAUGGUAUCGCGAGAUUAAACGGUGGCCGCAAGGCUGUCGCUGCAGGAUUGGUUCGCGCCCUAUCAGCUUGUUGGCGGGGUAACGGCCCACCAAGGCUACGACGGGUACCUGGUCUGAGAGGACGAUCAGGCACACUGGAACUGAGACACGGUUCAGACACCUACGGGUGGCAGCAGUCGAGAAUAAUUCACAAUGGGGGCAACCCUGAUGGUGCAACGCCGCGUGGAGGAUGACGGUCUUCGGAUUGUAAACUCCUGUCAUCCGGGAGCAAGACCUGGCCAUGAAUAGUGGACAGGGUUGAUAGUACCGGAAGAGGAAGGGACGGCUAACUUCGUGCCAGCAGCCGCGGUAAUACGAAGGUCCCGAGCGUUGUUCGGAAUCACUGGGCGUAAAGGGAGCGUAGGCGGCGUGGUAAGUCAGAUGUGAAAUCCCGGGGCUCAACCCCGGAACUGCAUCCGAUACUGCCGUGCUAGAGGAUUGGAGAGGUAGCUGGAAUUCACGGUGUAGCAGUGAAAUGCGUGGAUAUCGUGAGGAACACUCGUGGCGAAAGCGAGCUACUGGACAACUCCUGACGCUGAGGCUCGAAGGCCAGGGUAGCGAAAGGGAUUAGAUACCCCUGUAGUCCUGGCAGUAAACGGUGUGCGCUUGGUGUGUGGGGAAUCGACCCCCCUUGUGCCGGAGCUAACGCGUUAAGCGCACCGCCUGGGAAGUA
Molecule: ribosomal RNA, 880 nt
Filed under: uncultured bacterium
Lineage: Bacteria
Description: bacterial SSU rRNA
Rfam family: Bacterial small subunit ribosomal RNA
Source: RNAcentral